GAUGAACGCUGGCGGCGUGCCUAAUACAUGCAAGUCGAGCGAACAGAUGAGGAGCUUGCUCCUCUGACGUUAGCGGCGGACGGGUGAGUAACACGUGGAUAACCUACCUAUAAGACUGGGAUAACUUCGGGAAACCGGAGCUAAUACCGGAUAAUAUAUUGAACCGCAUGGUUCAAUAGUGAAAGACGGUUUUGCUGUCACUUAUAGAUGGAUCCGCGCCGCAUUAGCUAGUUGGUAAGGUAACGGCUUACCAAGGCAACGAUGCGUAGCCGACCUGAGAGGGGGGCGGGGCACCAGUGGAUCGGACACGGGGCCAAGACCCCUGGGGGGGGCGCAAGGGGGAUACCGCGCGCAAGGGGAGAAACCCGGAGGGACCAGCCCGGGGGGAUUAAGAAGGGUCUUGGUAUCGAAAAACUUUUUUAUUGGGAAAAAAAAAAUGGGAAAGAAAAUAUGCCUGUUUGGAGGGUACCUAAUAAAAAGCCCCCGGCAAACUCGGUC
RNAcentral lists this ribosomal RNA (498 nucleotides) under uncultured bacterium. RNAcentral describes it as "partial 16S ribosomal RNA". It matches the Rfam family "Bacterial small subunit ribosomal RNA", at positions 28 to 507 of the family's 1533-position model. The record is from RNAcentral.